This 253-nucleotide ribosomal RNA is filed under the name uncultured bacterium. Its description in RNAcentral is "partial 16S ribosomal RNA". It matches the Rfam family "Bacterial small subunit ribosomal RNA", at positions 524 to 776 of the family's 1533-position model. The record is from RNAcentral.
UACGUAGGGUGCGAGCGUUGUCCGGAAUUACUGGGCGUAAAGAGCUCGUAGGUGGUUUGUCGCGUUGUUCGUGAAAACCGGGGGCUUAACCCUCGGCGUGCGGGCGAUACGGGCAGACUGGAGUACUGCAGGGGAGACUGGAAUUCCUGGUGUAGCGGUGGAAUGCGCAGAUAUUAGGAAGAACACCGGUGGCGAAGGCGGCUCUCUGGAACGGUACUGACGCUGAGACGCGAAAGCGUGGGGAGCGAACAGG